AGUGAACGCUGGCGGUAGGCCUAACACAUGCAAGUCGAACGGCAGCACAGUAAGAGCUUGCUCUUACGGGUGGCGAGUGGCGGACGGGUGAGGAAUACAUCGGAAUCUACUUUUUCGUGGGGGAUAACGUAGGGAAACUUACGCUAAUACCGCAUACGACCUACGGGUGAAAGCAGGGGAUCUUCGGACCUUGCGCGAUUGAAUGAGCCGAAGUCGGAUUAGCUAGUUGGCGGGGUAAAGGCCCACCAAGGCGACGAUCCGUAGCUGGUCUGAGAGGAUGAUCAGCCACACUGGAACUGAGACACGGUCCAGACUCCUACGGGAGGCAGCAGUGGGGAAUAUUGGACAAUGGGCGCAAGCCUGGUCCAGCCAUACCGCGUGGGUGAAGAAGGCCUUCGGGUUGUAAAGCCCUUUUGUUGGGAAAGAAAAGCAGCAGGUUAAUACCCCGCUGUUCUGACGGUACCCAAAGAAUAAGCACCGGCUAACUUCGUG
Molecule: ribosomal RNA, 492 nt
Filed under: uncultured bacterium
Lineage: Bacteria
Description: partial 16S ribosomal RNA
Rfam family: Bacterial small subunit ribosomal RNA
Source: RNAcentral